GGUUAAGCGACUAAGCGUACACGGUGGAUGCCCUGGCAGUCAGAGGCGAUGAAGGACGUGCUAAUCUGCGAUAAGCGUCGGUAAGGUGAUAUGAACCGUUAUAACCGGCGAUUUCCGAAUGGGGAAACCCAGUGUGAUUCGUCACACUAUCAUUAACUGAAUCCAUAGGUUAAUGAGGCGAACCGGGGGAACUGAAACAUCUAAGUACCCCGAGGAAAAGAAAUCAACCGAGAUUCCCCCAGUAGCGGCGAGCGAACGGGGAGGAGCCCAGAGCCUGAAUCAGUGUGUGUGUUAGUGGAAGCGUCUGGAAAGGCGCGCGAUACAGGGUGACAGCCCCGUACACAAAAAUGCACAUAUUGUGAGCUCGAUGAGUAGGGCGGGACACGUGGUAUCCUGUCUGAAUAUGGGGGGACCAUCCUCCAAGGCUAAAUACUCCUGACUGACCGAUAGUGAACCAGUACCGUGAGGGAAAGGCGAAAAGAACCCCGGCGAGGGGAGUGAAAAAGAACCUGAAACCGUGUACGUACAAGCAGUGGGAGCACGCUUAGGCGUGUGACUGCGUACCUUUUGUAUAAUGGGUCAGCGACUUAUAUUCUGUAGCAAGGUUAACCGAAUAGGGGAGCCGAAGGGAAACCGAGUCUUAACUGGGCGUUAAGUUGCAGGGUAUAGACCCGAAACCCGGUGAUCUAGCCAUGGGCAGGUUGAAGGUUGGGUAACACUAACUGGAGGACCGAACCGACUAAUGUUGAAAAAUUAGCGGAUGACUUGUGGCUGGGGGUGAAAGGCCAAUCAAACCGGGAGAUAGCUGGUUCUCCCCGAAAGCUAUUUAGGUAGCGCCUCGUGAAUUCAUCUCCGGGGGUAGAGCACUGUUUCGGCAAGGGGGUCAUCCCGACUUACCAACCCGAUGCAAACUGCGAAUACCGGAGAAUGUUAUCACGGGAGACACACGGCGGGUGCUAACGUCCGUCGUGAAGAGGGAAACAACCCAGACCGCCAGCUAAGGUCCCAAAGUCAUGGUUAAGUGGGAAACGAUGUGGGAAGGCCCAGACAGCCAGGAUGUUGGCUUAGAAGCAGCCAUCAUUUAAAGAAAGCGUAAUAGCUCACUGGUCGAGUCGGCCUGCGCGGAAGAUGUAACGGGGCUAAACCAUGCACCGAAGCUGCGGCAGCGACGCUUAUGCGUUGUUGGGUAGGGGAGCGUUCUGUAAGCCUGCGAAGGUGUGCUGUGAGGCAUGCUGGAGGUAUCAGAAGUGCGAAUGCUGACAUAAGUAACGAUAAAGCGGGUGAAAAGCCCGCUCGCCGGAAGACCAAGGGUUCCUGUCCAACGUUAAUCGGGGCAGGGUGAGUCGACCCCUAAGGCGAGGCCGAAAGGCGUAGUCGAUGGGAAACAGGUUAAUAUUCCUGUACUUGGUGUUACUGCGAAGGGGGGACGGAGAAGGCUAUGUUGGCCGGGCGACGGUUGUCCCGGUUUAAGCGUGUAGGCUGGUUUUCCAGGCAAAUCCGGAAAAUCAAGGCUGAGGCGUGAUGACGAGGCACUACGGUGCUGAAGCAACAAAUGCCCUGCUUCCAGGAAAAGCCUCUAAGCAUCAGGUAACAUCAAAUCGUACCCCAAACCGACACAGGUGGUCAGGUAGAGAAUACCAAGGCGCUUGAGAGAACUCGGGUGAAGGAACUAGGCAAAAUGGUGCCGUAACUUCGGGAGAAGGCACGCUGAUAUGUAGGUGAAGUCCCUCGCGGAUGGAGCUGAAAUCAGUCGAAGAUACCAGCUGGCUGCAACUGUUUAUUAAAAACACAGCACUGUGCAAACACGAAAGUGGACGUAUACGGUGUGACGCCUGCCCGGUGCCGGAAGGUUAAUUGAUGGGGUUAGCGCAAGCGAAGCUCUUGAUCGAAGCCCCGGUAAACGGCGGCCGUAACUAUAACGGUCCUAAGGUAGCGAAAUUCCUUGUCGGGUAAGUUCCGACCUGCACGAAUGGCGUAAUGAUGGCCAGGCUGUCUCCACCCGAGACUCAGUGAAAUUGAACUCGCUGUGAAGAUGCAGUGUACCCGCGGCAAGACGGAAAGACCCCGUGAACCUUUACUAUAGCUUGACACUGAACAUUGAGCCUUGAUGUGUAGGAUAGGUGGGAGGCUUUGAAGUGUGGACGCCAGUCUGCAUGGAGCCGACCUUGAAAUACCACCCUUUAAUGUUUGAUGUUCUAACGUUGACCCGUAAUCCGGGUUGCGGACAGUGUCUGGUGGGUAGUUUGACUGGGGCGGUCUCCUCCUAAAGAGUAACGGAGGAGCACGAAGGUUGGCUAAUCCUGGUCGGACAUCAGGAGGUUAGUGCAAUGGCAUAAGCCAGCUUGACUGCGAGCGUGACGGCGCGAGCAGGUGCGAAAGCAGGUCAUAGUGAUCCGGUGGUUCUGAAUGGAAGGGCCAUCGCUCAACGGAUAAAAGGUACUCCGGGGAUAACAGGCUGAUACCGCCCAAGAGUUCAUAUCGACGGCGGUGUUUGGCACCUCGAUGUCGGCUCAUCACAUCCUGGGGCUGAAGUAGGUCCCAAGGGUAUGGCUGUUCGCCAUUUAAAGUGGUACGCGAGCUGGGUUUAGAACGUCGUGAGACAGUUCGGUCCCUAUCUGCCGUGGGCGCUGGAGAACUGAGGGGGGCUGCUCCUAGUACGAGAGGACCGGAGUGGACGCAUCACUGGUGUUCGGGUUGUCAUGCCAAUGGCACUGCCCGGUAGCUAAAUGCGGAAGAGAUAAGUGCUGAAAGCAUCUAAGCACGAAACUUGCCCCGAGAUGAGUUCUCCCUGACUCCUUGAGAGUCCUGAAGGAACGUUGAAGACGACGACGUUGAUAGGCCGGGUGUGUAAGCGCAGCGAUGCGUUGAGCUAACCGGUACUAAUGAACCGUGAGGCUUAACCUU
Molecule: ribosomal RNA, 2904 nt
Filed under: Escherichia coli
Lineage: Bacteria; Pseudomonadati; Pseudomonadota; Gammaproteobacteria; Enterobacterales; Enterobacteriaceae
Description: 23S ribosomal RNA
Rfam family: Bacterial large subunit ribosomal RNA
Source: RNAcentral